UGCGUAGGCGGUUAUUUAAGUCAGAUGUGAAAUUCCAGGGCUCAACCUUGGAACUGCAUUUGAAACUGGAUAUCUAGAGUGCAGGAGAGGAAAGCGGAAUUCCUAGUGUAGCGGUGAAAUGCGUAGAUAUUAGGAAGAACACCAGUGGCGAAGGCGGCUUUCUGGACUGUAACUGACGCUGAGGCACGAAAGCGUGGGGAGCAGACAGGAUUAGAUACCCUGGUAGUCCACGCUGUAAACGAUGAGUGCUAGGUGUGGGGGGUUUCGACACCCUCCGUGCCGCAGUAAACGCAAUAAGCACUCCGCCUGGGGAGUACGGUCGCAAGACUAAA
This 332-nucleotide ribosomal RNA is filed under the name uncultured bacterium. Its description in RNAcentral is "bacterial SSU rRNA". It matches the Rfam family "Bacterial small subunit ribosomal RNA", at positions 568 to 898 of the family's 1533-position model. The record is from RNAcentral.